AAAGUCGUAACAAGGUUUCCGUAGGUGAACCUGCGGAAGGAUCAUUACCGAAUCGUCAAACACGGGUUGUUGCUGGCCCCCCAAACGGGGCAUGUGCACGCUCUGUUUACACAUCCACUCACACCUGUGCACCCUCUGUAGUUCUAUGGUUCGGAAGACCCCGUCUUCCUUCCGUGGCUCUACGUCUUUACACACACGCCGUAGCGACGUCUCAUGGAAUGUUUUUAUGCGUUUAACGCGAUACAAUACAACUUUCAGCAACGGAUCUCUUGGCUCUC
This 278-nucleotide unclassified non-coding RNA is filed under the name Basidiomycota sp. RNAcentral's name for it is "partial contains small subunit ribosomal RNA, internal transcribed spacer 1, and 5.8S ribosomal RNA". The stretch from base 1 to 47 matches the Rfam family "Eukaryotic small subunit ribosomal RNA", at positions 1785 to 1831 of the family's 1831-position model. Lineage: Eukaryota; Fungi; Basidiomycota. The record is from RNAcentral.